This 217-nucleotide non-coding RNA is filed under the name Aliiroseovarius crassostreae. Lineage: Bacteria; Pseudomonadati; Pseudomonadota; Alphaproteobacteria; Rhodobacterales; Paracoccaceae. The record is from RNAcentral.
GGCAGAACGGGCGGAUAUGGUUUCCCGGCGCAUACCGAUGUUCCAGGGAGAAAAGGGAAUGUCGUGCGGGCGACCCAAGUCGGGGUCCAAAUCGACAGCCGCCCCCGCGACUGUAGGCGGAGCGCAGGCGUUGAUAUGCCACUGGCGGGAACGCUGGGAAGGUGACGCCAUGCCGAGAUCCGCAAGCCAGGAGACCUGCCAUAUGCGACUUUUCAUG